GUGGUGUAGUCUACGUGAUACGCAGGUAUACGCCGUAUACCCACUAGAAAAUGUCAAGGAUUUGCGUAUGCCCACUAGGAAAUGUCAAAGAUCUCCGUAUGCCCACUUUAAAAAGCGUGAGGAUUCGCAUAGAUUCGUGACA
Molecule: non-coding RNA, 142 nt
Organism: Pimephales promelas (fathead minnow)
Lineage: Eukaryota; Metazoa; Chordata; Actinopteri; Cypriniformes; Leuciscidae
Source: RefSeq, a predicted model, not a curated record